GGCUUGAUGGUCUAGAGGUAUGAUUCCUGCUUUGGGACAUCAUGUGACGCGGGAUGUUACAUGACCACAUGCAGGAGGCCCCGGGUUCGAUCCCCGGUCAAGCCC
Molecule: non-coding RNA, 105 nt
Organism: Fomitopsis betulina (razor strop fungus)
Lineage: Eukaryota; Fungi; Basidiomycota; Agaricomycetes; Polyporales; Fomitopsidaceae
Source: the annotation of a GenBank genome assembly